AUUGAACGCUGGCGGCAUGCCUUACACAUGCAAGUCGAACGGCAGCACGGGUGCUUGCACCUGGUGGCGAGUGGCGAACGGGUGAGUAAUACAUCGGAACAUGUCCUGUAGUGGGGAUAGCCCGGCGAAAGCCGGAUUAAUACCGCAUACGAUCUACGGAUGAAAGCGGGGGACCUUCGGGCCUCGCGCUAUAGGGUUGGCCGAUGGCUGAUUAGCUAGUUGGUGGGGUAAAGGCCUACCAAGGCGACGAUCAGUAGCUGGUCUGAGAGGACGACCAGCCACACUGGGACUGAGACACGGCCCAGACUCCUACGGGAGGCAGCAGUGGGGAAUUUUGGACAAUGGGCGAAAGCCUGAUCCAGCAAUGCCGCGUGUGUGAAGAAGGCCUUCGGGUUGUAAAGCACUUUUGUCCGGAAAGAAAUCCUUGGCUCUAAUACAGUCGGGGGAUGACGGUACCGGAAGAAUAAGCACCGGCUAACUACGUG
Molecule: ribosomal RNA, 485 nt
Filed under: uncultured bacterium
Lineage: Bacteria
Description: partial 16S ribosomal RNA
Rfam family: Bacterial small subunit ribosomal RNA
Source: RNAcentral